GACAGCAGCAGCCACGGGAAUACGUAGGGUGCAAGCGUUAAUCGGAAUUACUGGGCGUAAAGCGUGCGCAGGCGGUGAGUUAAGUCUGCUGUGAAAUCCCCGGGCUCAACCUGGGAACUGCAUUUGCGACUGGCAAGCUAGAGUAUGGCAGAGGGGGGUGGAAUUCCGCGUGUAGCAGUGAAAUGCGUAGAUAUGCGGAGGAACACCGAUGGCGAAGGCAGCCCCCUGGGCCAAUACUGACGCUCAUGCACGAAAGCGUGGGGAGCAAACAGGAUUAGAUACCCGCGUAGUCCCUGUCUCUUAUAC
RNAcentral lists this ribosomal RNA (306 nucleotides) under uncultured bacterium. RNAcentral describes it as "partial 16S ribosomal RNA". It matches the Rfam family "Bacterial small subunit ribosomal RNA", at positions 507 to 807 of the family's 1533-position model. The record is from RNAcentral.